RNAcentral lists this ribosomal RNA (453 nucleotides) under uncultured Porphyromonadaceae bacterium. Its description in RNAcentral is "bacterial SSU rRNA". It matches the Rfam family "Bacterial small subunit ribosomal RNA", at positions 341 to 792 of the family's 1533-position model. The record is from RNAcentral. Lineage: Bacteria; Pseudomonadati; Bacteroidota; Bacteroidia; Bacteroidales; Porphyromonadaceae.
ACGGGAGGCAGCAGUGAGGAAUAUUGGUCAAUGGGCGGAAGCCUGAACCAGCCAAGUCGCGUGAAGGAGGAAGGUCCUAUGGAUUGUAAACUUCUUUAGCCGGGGAGCAAUAAGCGCCACGUGUGGCGCGAUGCGAGUACCCGGAGAAUAAGGAUCGGCUAACUCCGUGCCAGCAGCCGCGGUAAUACGGAGGAUCCGAGCGUUAUCCGGAUUUAUUGGGUUUAAAGGGUGCGCAGGCGGUCGAUUAAGUCAGUGGUCAAAUCGUGGUGCUCAACGCCAUUCCGCCAUUGAUACUGGUUGACUUGAUUCCGGUCGAGGCAGGCGGAAUUCGUGGUGUAGCGGUGAAAUGCAUAGAUAUCACGAAGAACUCCGAUUGCGUAGGCAGCUUACCAGGCCGGCAAUGACGCUCAUGCACGAAAGUGCGGGGAUCGAACAGGAUUAGAUACCCUGGUA